UUGACCUCGGAUCAGGUAGGGAUACCCGCUGAACUUAAGCAUAUCAAUAAGCGGAGGAAAAGAAACCAACAGGGAUUGCCCCAGUAACGGCGAGUGAAGCGGCAAGAGCUCAAAUUUGAAAGCUGGCUCCUUCGGGGUCCGCAUUGUAAUUUGCAGAGGAUGUUUCGGGAGCGGCCCCUAUCUAAGUGUCCUGGAACGGACCGUCAUAGAGGGUGAGAAUCCCGUAUGGGAUGGGGUGCCCGCGCCCGUGUGAAACUCCUUCGACGAGUCGAGUUGUUUGGGAAUGCAGCUCUAAAUGGGUGGUAAAUUUCAUCUAAAGCUAAAUAUUGGCCGGAGACCGAUAGCGCACAAGUAGAGUGAUCGAAAGAUGAAAAGCACUUUGAAAAGAGAGUUAAAAAGCACGUGAAAUUGUUGAAAGGGAAGCGUUUGCGAUCAGACUCGCCGACGGGGUUCAGCCUGCCUUCGGGCAGGUGUACUUCCCCGCCGGCGGGCCAGCGUCGGUUUGGGCGGCCGGUCAAAGGCUCUGGGAAUGUAACGCCUCUCGGGGCGUCUUAUAGCCCAGGGUGUCAUGCGGCCUGCCCGGACCGAGGAACGCGCUUCGGCUCGGACGCUGGCAUAAUGGUCGUAAACGACCCGUCUUGAA
RNAcentral lists this ribosomal RNA (643 nucleotides) under Penicillium viticola. Its description in RNAcentral is "eukaryotic LSU rRNA". It matches the Rfam family "Eukaryotic large subunit ribosomal RNA", at positions 1 to 658 of the family's 3401-position model. The record is from RNAcentral. Lineage: Eukaryota; Fungi; Ascomycota; Eurotiomycetes; Eurotiales; Aspergillaceae.